GAUGAACGCUGGCGGCGUGCCUAAUACAUGCAAGUCGAGCGAACGGACGAGAAGCUUGCUUCUCUGAUGUUAGCGGCGGACGGGUGAGUAACACGUGGAUAACCUACCUAUCCGACUGGGAUACCUUCGGGAAACCGGAUCUAAUACCGGAUAAUAUUUUGACCCGCAUGGUUCAAAAGUGAGAUACGGUCUUGCUGUCACUUAUAGCUGGAUCCGGGUUGCAUUAGCUAGUUGGUAAGGUGACGGCUUACCAAGGCAACGAUGGAUAACCGACCUGAGAGGGAGGAUCGACAGCCGGGAUGUGAGAAAGGGCCCAGACUCUGACGCGAAGCCGCAGCACGGAAUCCUACGCAAUGCGGGAGUGCCUGAUGGAGCACAGUCGGGUGAGUGCUGAAGCUGCUAGGAUCCGAAAACGAUGUUAUCAGUGAAGUACAUAAGUGCAAUUACCCGUGAAGAUAUUGACGGUACCGAAACAGUAAGCUCCGGCUAACUCCGUG
This 497-nucleotide ribosomal RNA is filed under the name uncultured bacterium. RNAcentral's name for it is "partial 16S ribosomal RNA". It matches the Rfam family "Bacterial small subunit ribosomal RNA", at positions 28 to 507 of the family's 1533-position model. The record is from RNAcentral.